RNAcentral lists this small RNA (28 nucleotides) under Bombyx mori (domestic silkworm). Its description in RNAcentral is "piRNA piR-bmo-1703005". The record is from RNAcentral. Lineage: Eukaryota; Metazoa; Arthropoda; Insecta; Lepidoptera; Bombycidae.
UCGCGCUGCUAGCUGUAGUCGAUGACGC